ACAAUCUACAAGAAAUGAACUUCAUAACCCUGUUUGAUUUUUUUUAGGACUGCUUAUUCAGAACCACCACUAAAUCGUAAUUAUUCAUAGUUGAACAAAUGGUGGCACCGAUACAGCUGACAAAAUUUCCAGUGACUGUAUGUAGAGAUUAUCUGUAUUCUUUUGCCGAAUUUGUCAUUUUUCUUUCACAAACGUGUAACCUUUAGAGCCAUGCUUUACGGACGGGCGAGGUUCGCUCGGUACAAUUAUAAGCUACUCUGUAUUAGUUACCUUCAGGCCUUUAUAGCUACAGCUAAACAUACACACAAUGGCAUUUCGCUUGUUGACAACAGACGAUCAAAUUUCCGUCAUUCACGGAAAGAGACGAAUAACUAUAUUUAGCUUAGGUGCCUUGGCAAAAAUCAACGGAUAAGAGGUUGUUUGAAUACACACAUAAAAUUAACACGCCAUCACAAUAUACUUGUAAAUUUAAUUCAUUUUAUGAUGUUUCCGAUAAGACUUGGCGAAAUUAAAAUGGUGUAUCGUGUAUAUAUUUCAAUAAGGUGGCUCACUACACCCUGAAAUAGUUUCUCAAAUCAGUACGAAUUGAUAUAAUCAUGAAAGAUAUGAUGAUAUAUAAUAAGUACAUGUAUAUAUGCCAAAAAGGCAGAAAAUACGCAAAUUUGAAUAAAAAUAUGAUUUUCAAAACAAACGAAAAAUAUUUCAACACAUAUGAACAAAAGACUCUGGGGAAUUUGAACUCGAGAUCUGCGGUUCACCAACCCAAUGCUUUAACCACUGAGCUACGAUGAUAGACAAACAAAUCGAUCGAUACAAAUAAUUUCACAAAACAUUUAAAUCGCCAUCUUGUUAUGUAUAUGUGAUAAAGAUUAAAAGCUUUAGUCUAGUGAGCUACCUUAAAAACUUAAAUAUUUCACGGGGUGCCCUUAAAACGAAUUUUAGGUGAAGACAACACGAUAGUUCCACUGUGACUGCGACAUUUUUCCAGAGAACUAUGGGUAAUCCCCAUCAUUUCUCAGUUGAAGAGCAAAUCACGUGACUCACAUGUGUAAUCAAUGGAGCGAGCUCGUGGAGACUCGAGCCUCUCUUGCUAUUACCCCUUAAUGGUCCAUGAUUAUGACCUGUGGGUCGGUAGUCAGGAUAUGUUGCUCCUUUUAGUCAGUGCAUUGUUCCGGUUCAGUCAAAACAAAACCAUUCGUUGAAAGAAAGGAUUUGAUCGACAUGGAAUAGGUUACCUCUCUACCACUCAGCCUCCAGAAUAGAUACCAGAUUGUUGCCACGUAACAUUGACGACCACACAGUUCAGAUUUAAUGCAAAUGUGUGGUGUUGGUAUUCUGUAAAGCUGCUCUGCAUCAUUUCCCAAUUUCACCACAGAAAUUUUAUCAACAACUUUGUACAUGCAGAUCCAUAUAAUUAAUGUGAAAUGAAUUAGAAAUGAAUUCAAUAUGAGAUCUAACUCCUGUUAUUUUGAGGAAUUACUGGGCGUCUGUCAGCAAUUUAAAAUCGGAUGUCUUUGCAUCUAGUUAACAUAAAAAUUCGAACUAUCGGAUUUAAAACAAUGGGAUGAAUUGCAUUGUAACCGAUGUUUUGAACUUUCCUUUGAUAAUGGCAUCAAACAACUAGGAAUGCAAAUGUAGCGCUAUUUAAAUCACAUUGACAUUAGAAACAUUUGCAAUCCGCCAAAGUUUUUGAAUGUUACAUUUAUAAAAACUCACACAUUUGACUUUGGCUAUUGUCGUUUAUUUUGCUUUGUUUUGUGUUUUUUUU
Molecule: long non-coding RNA, 1768 nt
Organism: Ostrea edulis (European flat oyster)
Lineage: Eukaryota; Metazoa; Mollusca; Bivalvia; Ostreida; Ostreidae
Exons: 3
Source: RefSeq, a predicted model, not a curated record